GUGGGGAAUUUUGCGCAAUGGGGGAAACCCUGACGCAGCAACGCCGCGUGAGUGAUGAAGGCCUUCGGGUCGUAAAGCUCUGUCAGAGGGGAAGAAGUGUGAGGUGGCUAAUAUCCAUUUCACUUGACGGUACCUUCAAAGGAAGCACCGGCUAACUCCGUGCCAGCAGCCGCGGUAAUACGGAGGGUGCGAGCGUUGUUCGGAAUUAUUGGGCGUAAAGCGCGUGUAGGCGGUUUUUUAAGUCUGAUGUGAAAGCCCUGGGCUCAACCCGGGAAGUGCAUUGGAAACUGGGAGACUUGAAUACGGGAGAGGGCAGUGGAAUUCCUGGUGUAGGAGUGAAAUCCGUAGAUAUCAGGAGGAACACCGGUGGCGAAGGCGGCUGCCUGGACCGAUAUUGACGCUGAGACGCGAAAGCGUGGGGAGCAAACAGGAUUAGAAACCCCAGUAGUCC
RNAcentral lists this ribosomal RNA (451 nucleotides) under uncultured bacterium. RNAcentral's name for it is "partial 16S ribosomal RNA". It matches the Rfam family "Bacterial small subunit ribosomal RNA", at positions 354 to 796 of the family's 1533-position model. The record is from RNAcentral.